Molecule: long non-coding RNA, 634 nt
Filed under: Cyanistes caeruleus (blue tit)
Lineage: Eukaryota; Metazoa; Chordata; Aves; Passeriformes; Paridae
Description: lncRNA (ENSCCEG00000019723.1)
Source: RNAcentral
GUUACUGGGACCUGUUUUCAUUGUGUUUUAAAUGAGCCUGAUUUCUUGAGCAUACUUCUGUUACAAAUUUAAAAAGAAAUAAUUACUUGCUCAUAUGGUUUCUUGAAUUUUUUAUCCAGUAGGUAACACUUCCUCCUCUGACCUUCAGCCAUGGAAGUAAUCACUUGUGCUUGGCAUCAAAACUUUAUUCAGAUUUUAUUCAUAUGGAAGAUGAAACCUGUUGUGAUGAGAUUUAAUUUAGAGAAAAGAUUCCUUUAAGUAGAGCAACUAUUAACUAAGGUUAGAAGAACCUAUCAACUGCACAUUACUGACCUGAAUUGAGAUAGAUAUAAACAAGCAAUUUUUCAGGAAAUUAAAUCAGAGAUGUAUUAGACCUGGGUCUUUUCAUUGGGAAUCUCUUGUUUGUUUGACCUGUAGCUCUGUAAAACCUUAGACUCAAGCUUUUUUAUUUUUCUAGCAGUUCUGUUCCAUUACACAAGGAAAAGAUUCUUAGUAACUCCUGAAGUGCAACUGAUAAAGAAUGUCCCUCUGACCUUUCAGAAGCUACACUCAGGAAUAAGCUCAGCUUAUAUGAAGGAGCCAAGGGCGAAUCACUUCUGGAGCAAAGGAUUGAAGGAUCAGAUCAUAAAUUCAG